CCCUCCCCUGCCACAGCGGGGGGGCCCCCACCUGCCAGGGCAGGAGCGCCUGCGUGGGGCCCCGGAGCCCAGCGGCUGCAGCCAAGGGGCAGGCAGGCAGGGCACCCAGAGUCACCGGAUUUAGGGAAUCAAACUACAGGACACCCAGCGAGAUUUGAAUUUCAGAAAAGCACCUAAUAAUCCUUUUGUGUCCUUGUAUCUCAUGCGACCUUGGGGGGCAGACUUAACCUAAAAGAAUAUUCCUGCAUCUAAAUUCCAAUCUCGCGGGGCACCCGGUGGCAGUUGGAAGGCAGCAGAGGCCGGGGAUCAUGCGGUAACCGCUGAUGAUGGGAACAGAAGCUUCAGCAAGACGCACGCUGUCUUUUUUUCAAGAUCCAGAAGACCUGAGCUUUUUGCUUUUGCCCUUGACGCAGUGGACCAGCUCCUGCUGAGAUGCAGCCCCGCCGUCCAGGCCCAGAGGAGUCUGGCAGCAAGAAGCGGGCCGUCUCCCCGCCUUUCAGCCUCCUUCGUCUUCCCUUGUUCUUGGAUCCUUAAGAAACCCGGUACAUCCAAGCAGCGGUAUCCAGGCCGCCCCUGCUCACUACACCACGCCCUUGCCACACCCCCGCCACGGCUCCCGGCCUGUUACAACAAACCACCAAGCUCAGCAUCCAAGUUGUCUCCAGAGAGAAACAGCAGAAUCGGUAGAGGGAAAACUCAGCAGGUGUAUUAUUAGUCUCCUCGGGCUGCUAGAGCAAAAUGCCCCACACCGGGGGCCUGUGACAACACAAAUAUAACAGCUCACUCUCUGGAGGCUAAAAGUCUGAACCCAGGCGUGGGGAGGAUGGUUCCUUCCGGGAGCCGCGAGGGAGGAAUCUGUCCUGUGCCUCUUUCCUAGCAGCUGGGGCCUGGCUGGCGAUCUCUGGCAUUCCUUGGCGCCUACUGCAGCACACCACCCUCUGCCUUCCUCUUCACGUGGUGCUCUCCCCAUGUGUUCGUCUAGUUUCAAAUAUCUAUCUAUCUAUCUGUCUAUCUAUUUAUUUAUUUAUUUAUUUGACAGAGAGAAAGCAUGAGCAGGAGGGGCAGAGGGAGAGAGAGAGAGACUCUCAAGCAGAUUCCACACAGAGCGCAGAGCCCAACACCAGGCUCGAUCCCAUAACCCCAAGACUAUGACCCAAGCCAAAACCGAGAGUUGGAUGCCCAACUGACUGUGCCACCCAGGCACCCCAAGGACACUGACCUCUUUUAAAUGACUCAUAAAUGUAGCUCAUUAAGGGCCAUAGAAAGACCAACAGAAGAGAUUAAAUGCCGUCAGUACUAGCUCUGGUCCUGCCAGGGACUUGCUCUCAGCACGUGGUUAGUUGUUUUUUUUGUUUUUAUUUUUGCUUUUCUGUACAUAUUUUCCUGGUCAUAAAACAGAUUUUGCCUCUACUCUCAGGAUCCUCAAAAGUCAGUCCUGAAUGGCGAUCUCCUAGUUCAAGGGAAGAUUUCCUGGGAACUUAAAAUGAAACGAAUACUGAUGCCCAAGUGCAUCCCCCAUGCCAUCUAAUUUCAUUUGCCUGGGUAUCCUACUUUUUAUUUAUUUUUUUAUUUUAUUUUAUUUUAUUUUUUUAGAUUUUUUUUUAUUUAUUUAUUCAUGAAAGACUGAGAGACAGAGAGAGAGAGAGCACCAGAGACAAAGGCAGAGGGAGAAGCAGGCUCCAUGCACCGGUAGCCUGAUGUGGGAUUCGAUCCUGGGUCUCCAGGAUCGCGCCCUGGGCCAAAGGCAGGCGCUAAACCGCUGCGCCACCCAGGGAUCCCUACUUUUUAAAAGCUUCCCAGGGGGCACCUGGGUGGCUCAGUUGGUUAAACGUCUGCUUUGGGUCAGGUUAUGAUCCUGGGGUCCUGGGUUCAAGCCCCAUAUCGGGCUCCAUCCUCAGCCAGAGGUCGGCUUCUCCUCCCUCUGCCUGCUGCUCCCCCUGCUGGUGCUCUCUCUCUGUAUCAAAUAAACAAAUCUUUUUACAAAUAAAUAAAAAUAAAAGCUUCCCAGGUAUACAGUCUCUUGAUUGUGAUGAAUGUAUACAGAUGUCAAAACUUAAUCAGAUUGUAUGCUUUAGGGGGGUGGCUCAGCGGUUGAGCAUCUAACUUUGGCUCAGAGUGUGAUCCCCGAGUCCUGGGAUCGAGUCCCACAUUGGGCUCCCUGCGAGGAGCCUGCUUCUCCCUCUGCCUGUGUCUCUGCCCCCUCUCUGUGUCUCUCAUGAAUAAAUAAAUAUUUUUUUAAAAAGAGAUCAUAAAAAAAGAUUGUACACUCUAAUAUGUAUAGCCUAUUAUAUGUCAAUUAUAUUUCAAUAAAGCUGUGCAAAAAAUUAAAAGCCUUCCAGGUGAUUCUAGUGGGCAUCUCAAAAUGAAAACCAUUGAACUGGGACAACCUCCUAAGUUAAGCAGAUAAAGAAAUGGCUAUAGGCGGAAGAAAUCUGCUUAGGCCUCAUGUCGUGGGGAACAGCACUGCCGGGACUUAGAACCUAGGACUCCUGUCAUAGGUGUCAUCGCACCUAUGUCAUUGCACUGGUGUCUAUUGCACCAGUGUUCUUGCCUGAAAACCAAAAUGAUAGGAAUUUUACAAAUUUAAAAUGAGGCACUAAAGAAUUUGAAGUGCUAGGAUUGUUCCUGGAGGCGCAGGGCACACAGAGCUCAACCCACCACAGCCUUUACCUGGUAAGAGUCUCCACCCGGAGGGGCAGCGGCCGUCUUCUCCGUGUACUCCGGGGGUCCCACGCCUCGCUUUGCCCACGGGGUGGUGGGGCCCUGCGGGGCCAGUAGAACCUGCAAGGAAAGCAACGUGUCAGCAGCUCCCACGGGCCAUACAGUGGCUGGUUGGCCGCCUCUUUCCUUAAGUCCAGACUUGGCAGUUCCAACAGCUUGUUGAGUAUUUCUACCUCAGAGUCAGUGUGUUCAAAACUGAACUCAUCACCUCCUGCUCCAAUCCAUUCCUCCUUUUCAAUUUCCUAGUAGAGUACCACGAGUCUCCCAAAUAUCCACACCUAAAAGAGUCUCAUCCUCUACACCCAAGCGGGUGUCUAUCUUCCUGAAGGUCUCUGAAACAUACCCUUCAUUUACAUCUUUAUCUUUGGUCUUAGGUCCUCCUCAUUUCCUGCCUAGGCCUCCUGACUUAUCUCCCACUUUCCUAUCACUGCCGUUUGCAGCUGGAGUAAUCAUCCAAGAACACAGGUCAUGCCGUGCGCCCCCUUAAAAACCUUUAAACAGCUUCCCCAUGAUAAACAGGAUGAAACCCGAGCUCCUUAGGAUGGCAGUUAUGAUCCGGCCCCAAGGGCCCUGUUCCAUAUCCUCCCCCACCACUCCUCUAGUAUGCAAUGUUUUCAUACCUUCUGGAUCCACGGACGCCUCUGUAUCACGUACAUGCUAUUCCACGGGCCUGCAACACUGGAUCUAGCCCCACUAAAUUGCAUUCGUCUUCUAAGGCUCAGUCUAAGUAUCACACCAGGUUAAGUCAAAUAUUCCUUCUCCCCCAUGCCACACUGUCCUCAUACUAACUCCAUGAAAACAAUUAUUCCACUCCUUCAUGGUAGUCUAUCUCUAGACGCUUUCCCACUAG
This 3571-nucleotide long non-coding RNA is filed under the name Canis lupus familiaris (dog). Its description in RNAcentral is "lncRNA (ENSCAFG00845030113.1)". The record is from RNAcentral. Lineage: Eukaryota; Metazoa; Chordata; Mammalia; Carnivora; Canidae.